Molecule: ribosomal RNA, 253 nt
Filed under: uncultured bacterium
Lineage: Bacteria
Description: partial 16S ribosomal RNA
Rfam family: Bacterial small subunit ribosomal RNA
Source: RNAcentral
UACGGAGGGUGCGAGCGUUGUCCGGAAUCACUGGGCGUAAAGGGCGCGUAGGCGGCUACUUAAGCGUGUGGUGAAAGUCUGGGGCUCAACCCCGGAUCGGCCGUGCGAACUGAGUGGCUCGAGCACUGUAGAGGCAGGUGGAAUUCCGGGUGUAGCGGUGGAAUGCGUAGAGAUCCGGAAGAACACCGGUGGCGAAGGCGGCCUGCUGGGCAGUGGCUGACGCUGAGGCGCGAAAGCGUGGGGAGCAAACAGG